This 535-nucleotide ribosomal RNA is filed under the name Aspergillus fumigatus. RNAcentral describes it as "eukaryotic LSU rRNA". The stretch from base 162 to 315 matches the Rfam family "5.8S ribosomal RNA". Lineage: Eukaryota; Fungi; Ascomycota; Eurotiomycetes; Eurotiales; Aspergillaceae. The record is from RNAcentral.
ACCUCCCACCCGUGUCUAUCGUACCUUGUUGCUUCGGCGGGCCCGCCGUUUCGACGGCCGCCGGGGAGGCCUUGCGCCCCCGGGCCCGCGCCCGCCGAAGACCCCAACAUGAACGCUGUUCUGAAAGUAUGCAGUCUGAGUUGAUUAUCGUAAUCAGUUAAAACUUUCAACAACGGAUCUCUUGGUUCCGGCAUCGAUGAAGAACGCAGCGAAAUGCGAUAAGUAAUGUGAAUUGCAGAAUUCAGUGAAUCAUCGAGUCUUUGAACGCACAUUGCGCCCCCUGGUAUUCCGGGGGGCAUGCCUGUCCGAGCGUCAUUGCUGCCCUCAAGCACGGCUUGUGUGUUGGGCCCCCGUCCCCCUCUCCCGGGGGACGGGCCCGAAAGGCAGCGGCGGCACCGCGUCCGGUCCUCGAGCGUAUGGGGCUUUGUCACCUGCUCUGUAGGCCCGGCCGGCGCCAGCCGACACCCAACUUUAUUUUUCUAAGGUUGACCUCGGAUCAGGUAGGGAUACCCGCUGAACUUAAGCAUAUCAAUAA